Molecule: long non-coding RNA, 892 nt
Filed under: Gorilla gorilla gorilla (western lowland gorilla)
Lineage: Eukaryota; Metazoa; Chordata; Mammalia; Primates; Hominidae
Description: lncRNA (ENSGGOG00000044268.1)
Source: RNAcentral
CCCACGGUGCGCGCGCCCCGGCCGGUGGCCGCCCCUCGGCGGGAGCAGGAACGCCAACGUGCGCCCCGUUCUCGCCGCUGGGCGUUGCCGCUUCCCCCGGGCCACCCCAUCGCCCCUUCCGACGCGGGAGCUGGCGCCUGAGCAGCGACGCGGAGCGGGGAAGCGGCGGUGGGGAAAGGGUACCGGGGGGGAGCCCCCAUCCCACGUUCCGCCCCGAGGGAAUGUUCCCGAACAGCCAGCCGCACCCAGCGCCACACUCACGUUACCUUCUUUAUAAAAGUCGUCGGGUCAAAACUGCCCAGAGAAGGAAGCGAACGAAAAACAGGCAAAAUCAUAAAGGAGGAAACUCUGGUCUUUACAUUAGGGCGCCUCUACUUCUGGUUUUCCCCCUGUCUACCACCUCAGCCUUCUGGAGACUCAGUUUCUGCCUUUGGAGGCAUAGACACCACCAUCACCAACCACCACCGCCACCACCACCACGGGAGAGUCUAGUGGAGACUAAAGUGAUACCGUAUUGGAGGGAAGAAUUUAACCUUGGAUUCACCAGGCUGCCAGAAGGAUUCAUUCCUUCCUAACAUGUUGCUUCCUUCCACUAAAGUGUCUUCGACUUCAGUCUUGAAAAGAGUUUUACCCUCCCAUGUCACAGAAUCCUGAUGUUGCCACCCUAGGUAUCACCUCACCCAACACUUUCUUUAAAAAUUUUUUUAUUAUUAUCUAAUAUGCUUUUUCAUUGCCAGCCAGCAUAUUUAUUUUUUUUUUUUUUUAUUUAUUUUUUGCCCCUGGCCUACCUUCCCAACCAUGCAAUGUAACAAUCUAAACCAGAUGAUCUCAAGCUUUUAGUCUCAGGAACAACAUUUUAAAAUAAACACACUUAAAAAUUAUUGAUGAGCCC